RNAcentral lists this unclassified non-coding RNA (329 nucleotides) under soil metagenome. RNAcentral's name for it is "partial contains 5.8S ribosomal RNA, internal transcribed spacer 2, and large subunit ribosomal RNA". The stretch from base 1 to 120 matches the Rfam family "5.8S ribosomal RNA", at positions 35 to 154 of the family's 154-position model. The record is from RNAcentral.
GAUGAAUAACGUAGCGAAAUGCGAUAAGUAAUGUGAAUUGCAGAAUUCAGUGAAUCAUCGAAUCUUUGAACGCACAUUGCGCCCCCUGGUAUUCCGGGGGGCAUGCCUGUCCGAGCGUCAUUACAACCCUCAAGCUCAGCUUGGUGUUGGGCCCCGCCGCCCCGGCGGGCCCUAAAGUCAGUGGCGGUGCCGUCCGGCUCCGAGCGUAGUAAUUCUUCUCGCUCUGGAGGUCCGGUCGUGUGCUCGCCAGCAACCCCCAAUUUUUUUCAGGUUGACCUCGGAUCAGGUAGGGAUACCCGCUGAACUUAAGCAUAUCAAUAAGCGGAGGA